UCGGAUUNUAGGCUGCAACCCGCCUACAUGAAGUUGGAAUUGCUAGUAAUCGCAGAUCAGAAUGCUGCGGUGAAUACGUUCCCGGGCCUUGUACACACCGCCCGUCACACCAUGAGAGUUGGGAAUACCCGAAGCCUGUGAGCUAACUUAUAGAGGCAGCAGUCGAAGGUAGAAUCAAUGAUUGGGGUGAAGUCGUAACAAGGUAAC
Molecule: ribosomal RNA, 207 nt
Filed under: uncultured bacterium
Lineage: Bacteria
Description: partial 16S ribosomal RNA
Rfam family: Bacterial small subunit ribosomal RNA
Source: RNAcentral